GAUGAAGAACGUAGCGAAAUGCGAUAAGUAAUGUGAAUUGCAGAAUUCAGUGAAUCAUCGAAUCUUUGAACGCACAUUGCGCCCGCCAGUAUUCUGGCGGGCAUGCCUGUUCGAGCGUCAUUUCAACCAUCAAGCCCUAGGCUUGCGUUGGAGCCCUGCGGCUGCCGCAGGCUCCCAAAUCCAGUGGCGGGCUCGUCGUCGUACCGAGUGCAGUAAACAUCCUCGCUCAGGGAACGUGACGGGUUCUUGCCGUGAAACCCCCCACAUAUCAAGGUUGACCUCGGAUCAGGUAGGAAUACCCGCUGAACUUAAGCAUAUCAAUAAGCGGAGGA
This 332-nucleotide unclassified non-coding RNA is filed under the name soil metagenome. RNAcentral's name for it is "partial contains 5.8S ribosomal RNA, internal transcribed spacer 2, and large subunit ribosomal RNA". The stretch from base 1 to 120 matches the Rfam family "5.8S ribosomal RNA", at positions 35 to 154 of the family's 154-position model. The record is from RNAcentral.